GGCUCCAUGGCGCAAUGGAUAGCGCAUUGGACUUCUAAUUCAAAGGUUCCAGGUUCAAGUCCCGGCGGAGUCA
Non-coding RNA from Protopterus annectens (West African lungfish), 73 nucleotides. Lineage: Eukaryota; Metazoa; Chordata; Ceratodontiformes; Protopteridae. The record is from the annotation of a RefSeq genome assembly.